CCUACGGGAGGCAGCAGUGGGGAAUAUUGGACAAUGGGCGAAAGCCUGAUCCAGCAAUGCCGCGUGAGUGAAGAAGGCCUUCGGGUUGUAAAGCUCUUUUACCCGGGAAGAUAAUGACUGUACCGGGAGAAUAAGCUCCGGCUAACUCCGUGCCAGCAGCCGCGGUAAUACGGAGGGAGCUAGCGUUGUUCGGAAUUACUGGGCGUAAAGCGUACGUAGGCGGCUUGGUAAGUCAGAGGUGAAAGCCCACGACUCAAUCGUGGAACUGCCUUUGAGACUGCUUCGCUUGAAGAUGGGAGAGGUUAGUGGAAUUCCGAGUGUAGAGGUGAAAUUCGUAGAUAUUCGGAAGAACACCAGUGGUGAAGGCGGCUAACUGGACCAUUCUUGACGCUGAGGUACGAAAGCGUGGGGAGCAAACAGGAUUAGAUACCCUGGUAGUCCACGCCGUAAACGAUGAUAACUAGCUGUCGGGGCUCUUGGAGCUUCGGUGGCGCAGCUAACGCAUUAAGUUAUCCGCCUGGGGAGUACGGCCGCAAGGUUAAAACUCAAAUGAAUUGACGG
RNAcentral lists this ribosomal RNA (561 nucleotides) under uncultured bacterium. RNAcentral's name for it is "bacterial SSU rRNA". It matches the Rfam family "Bacterial small subunit ribosomal RNA", at positions 338 to 916 of the family's 1533-position model. The record is from RNAcentral.